GGAAAAAUAAAAUGGGAAUGGAAACAGUUCAAGUGAGCCUAGUACUCUACUUGACUCAAUAGUGAAAAGUAUUUACAUAAUGAACAAUGAAUAGUGAUUUAAUAAAAACAAUUGUGAAGGAAUGGGGGAAGAAGAAAGGACUGUAAGAAGGCGGAGGUCACAUUACUAGGAAAAAUCAGAGGCUGGAACUAGAAGCCAAGCUGUCAGAUGUGGGUCCCACCGUGUUUAUCUGGAGGAAAGUGUGCCCAGUUGGCAGCAUAGUCUGUCUGGCCAAGGAGAUUGCUGGCUUUGUUUUUCUGAACGUCCAGAACAGUGCCUGAUAUCCACCCCAAA
Molecule: long non-coding RNA, 333 nt
Filed under: Chinchilla lanigera (long-tailed chinchilla)
Lineage: Eukaryota; Metazoa; Chordata; Mammalia; Rodentia; Chinchillidae
Description: lncRNA (ENSCLAG00000022728.1)
Source: RNAcentral